ACGCUGGCGGCAUGCCUAAUACAUGCAAGUCGAGCGAACAGAUGAAGUGCUUGCACUUCUGACGUUAGCGGCGAACGGGUGAGUAACACGUAAGGAAUCUACCUAUAAGCGGGGAUAACAUUCGGAAACGGGUGCUAAUACCGCAUAAUAUCUUCUUCCGCAUGGAAGAAGAUUGAAAGACGGCUCUGCUGUCACUUAUAGAUGACCUUGCGGUGCAUUAGUUAGUUGGUGGGGUAACGGCCUACCAAGACGAUGAUGCAUAGCCGACCUGAGAGGGUGAUCGGCCACAUUGGGACUGAGACACGGCCCAAACUCCUACGGGAGGCAGCAGUAGGGAAUCUUCCGCAAUGGGCGAAAGCCUGACGGAGCAAUGCCGCGUGAGUGAAGAAGGCCUUCGGGUCGUAAAACUCUGUUAUAAGAGAAGAACAAAUUGUAGAGUAACUGCUACAGUCUUGACGGUAUCUUAUCAGAAAGCCACGGCUAACUACGUG
Molecule: ribosomal RNA, 491 nt
Filed under: uncultured bacterium
Lineage: Bacteria
Description: bacterial SSU rRNA
Rfam family: Bacterial small subunit ribosomal RNA
Source: RNAcentral